Molecule: ribosomal RNA, 699 nt
Filed under: uncultured bacterium
Lineage: Bacteria
Description: bacterial SSU rRNA
Rfam family: Bacterial small subunit ribosomal RNA
Source: RNAcentral
AGAGUUUGAUCCUGGCUCAGAUUGAACGCUGGCGGCAUGCUUUACACAUGCAAGUCGAACGGCAGCACGGGGGUAACCCUGGUGGCGAGUGGCGAACGGGUGAGGAAUGCACCGGAACGUGUCUUCAAGUGGGGGAUAACGCAUCGAAAGGUGUGCUAAUACCGCAUAAUCUCUGAGGAGAAAAGCAGGGGAUCGCAAGACCUUGCGCUUUUGGAGCGGCCGAUGCCUGAUUAGCUUGUUGGUGAGGUAAAAGCUCACCAAGGCUUCGAUCAGUAGCUGGUCUGAGAGGACGACCAGCCACACUGGGACUGAGACACGGCCCAGACUCCUACGGGAGGCAGCAGUGGGGAAUUUUGGACAAUGGGGGCAACCCUGAUCCAGCCAUGCCGCGUGAGUGAAGAAGGCCUUCGGGUUGUAAAGCUCUUUCAGCCGGAACGAAACGGUUACGGUUAAUACCCGUGACUACUGACGGUACCGGAAGAAGAAGCACCGGCUAACUACGUGCCAGCAGCCGCGGUAAUACGUAGGGUGCAAGCGUUAAUCGGAAUUACUGGGCGUAAAGCGUGCGCAGGUGGUUUUGUAAGUCAGAUGUGAAAUCCCCGGGCUUAACCUGGGAACUGCGUUUGAAACUGCAAGGCUAGAGUGUGGCAGAGGGGGGUGGAAUUCCGCGUGUAGCAGUGAAAUGCGUAGAGAUGUGGA